This is a long non-coding RNA of Myodes glareolus (Bank vole), 489 nucleotides long. RefSeq lists it as uncharacterized. The record is from RefSeq and is a predicted model, not a curated record. NCBI's taxonomy places the organism in Eukaryota, Metazoa, Chordata, Mammalia, Rodentia, Cricetidae.
ACUAACCAGCCGCUCAACAGCUGAGACCGUCCAAGAGCCAGAGAACUAGCUCUUGCCAGCGGAUCAAGACUUGCUGAUCCGGAGGUCUACGUCGAGAGCCACGAACCGCCAUCAGCUGCCACCUCACUCAGUGCUCUGGCUGUGAUGCUGCUGGUGUCUCCACAUCAAUGGCAGCCUCGUGCCAUCUUGUUUGUCCGGCACUGGGUUCCUCCUCAAGAUUCUUCUCUGCUGUUUGCCACGGUCUCAGCAGUUAUUAGAUGUUCCUUCUUCAGCCUGUGGGGUCGUGCUCCCAAAUUCAGCCAUUAAGAUGAUCACGCUAGACCCGACGGCCCUUGGUACAAUGACAGCAGCCCAGGGGGAAUCCUGUGUUAUCAUUAAAUGCCAUGUCUGUGCCUGACAAUCAGGACAAUGUGUCUUCACUCCACUGAAAUUUCUGAAAUUUCCAUUCUGUUUAAGUUUUGAUCAGUAAAGUAAAUCAUUAAAAUGUAA